Molecule: ribosomal RNA, 539 nt
Filed under: Photobacterium sp. C1053775
Lineage: Bacteria; Pseudomonadati; Pseudomonadota; Gammaproteobacteria; Vibrionales; Vibrionaceae
Description: bacterial SSU rRNA
Rfam family: Bacterial small subunit ribosomal RNA
Source: RNAcentral
UGGAGAGUUUGAUCCUGGCUCAGAUUGAACGCUGGCGGCAGGCCUAACACAUGCAAGUCGAGCGGCAGCGACAUCAACAAUCCUUCGGGUGCGUUGAUGGGCGGCGAGCGGCGGACGGGUGAGUAAUGCCUGGGAAUAUGCCCUGAUGUGGGGGAUAACCAUUGGAAACGAUGGCUAAUACCGCAUAAUCUCUUCGGAGCAAAGAGGGGGACCUUCGGGCCUCUCGCGUCAGGAUUAGCCCAGGUGAGAUUAGCUAGUUGGUGAGGUAAGAGCUCACCAAGGCGACGAUCUCUAGCUGGUCUGAGAGGAUGAUCAGCCACACUGGAACUGAGACACGGUCCAGACUCCUACGGGAGGCAGCAGUGGGGAAUAUUGCACAAUGGGGGAAACCCUGAUGCAGCCAUGCCGCGUGUGUGAAGAAGGCCUUCGGGUUGUAAAGCACUUUCAGUCGUGAGGAAGGCGAUAUGCGUUAAUAGCGYAURUGUUUGACGUUAGCGACAGAAGAAGCACCGGCUAACUCCGUGCCAGCAGCCGCGGUA